UACGUAGGGUGCGAGCGUUGUCCGGAAUUAUUGGGCGUAAAGGGCUCGUAGGCGGUUUGUCGCGUCGGGAGUGAAAACACACAGCUUAACUGUGUGCUUGCUUCCGAUACGGGCAGACUAGAGGUAUGCAGGGGAGAACGGAAUUCCUGGUGUAGCGGUGAAAUGCGCAGAUAUCAGGAGGAACACCGGUGGCGAAGGCGGGUCUCUGGGCCGAUAUUGACGCUGAGGAGCGAAAGCGUGGGGAGCGAACAGG
Molecule: ribosomal RNA, 253 nt
Filed under: uncultured bacterium
Lineage: Bacteria
Description: partial 16S ribosomal RNA
Rfam family: Bacterial small subunit ribosomal RNA
Source: RNAcentral